GACGAACGCUGGCGGCGUGCUUAACACAUGCAAGUCGAACGGAAAGGCCCUGCUUUUGUGGGGUGCUCGAGUGGCGAACGGGUGAGUAACACGUGAGUAACCUGCCCUUGACUUUGGGAUAACUUCAGGAAACUGGGGCUAAUACCGGAUAGGAGCUCCUGCUGCAUGGUGGGGGUUGGAAAGUUUCGGCGGUUGGGGAUGGACUCGCGGCUUAUCAGCUUGUUGGUGGGGCAGUGGCUUACCAAGGCUUUGACGGGUAGCCGGCCUGAGAGGGUGACCGGCCACAUUGGGACUGAGAUACGGCCCAGACUCCUACGGGAGGCAGCAGUGGGGAAUAUUGCACAAUGGGCGGAAGCCUGAUGCAGCAACGCCGCGUGCGGGAUGACGGCCUUCGGGUUGUAAACCGCUUUCGCCUGUGACGAAGCGUGAGUGACGGUAAUGGGUAAAGAAGCACCGGCUAACUACGUGC
RNAcentral lists this ribosomal RNA (469 nucleotides) under uncultured bacterium. RNAcentral describes it as "partial 16S ribosomal RNA". It matches the Rfam family "Bacterial small subunit ribosomal RNA", at positions 28 to 508 of the family's 1533-position model. The record is from RNAcentral.